Molecule: ribosomal RNA, 208 nt
Filed under: uncultured Latescibacterota bacterium
Lineage: Bacteria; Pseudomonadati; Candidatus Latescibacterota
Description: uncultured Latescibacteria bacterium partial 16S ribosomal RNA
Rfam family: Bacterial small subunit ribosomal RNA
Source: RNAcentral
CGUGUAGGCGGUCAGGUAAGUGGAAUGUGAAAUGCCCCGGCUCACCCGGGGACCGGCAUCCCAAAACUGCCUGGCUUGAGUAUGGGAGAGGAUGGAGGAAUUCCUGGUGUAGCGGUGAAAUGCGUAGAUAUCAGGAGGAACACCGGUGGCGAAGGCGUCCAUCUGGCCCAAUACUGACGCUGAGGCGCGAAAGCUAGGGGAGCAAACG